CCGCCAAACCCAUCGACAAGGCAGCUGCAGCAAAACACCAUGCAGAAUCCGUUGAAACGGCAACUUCCUUUCUCUUCUAUGAAGCCACCCUUCUCGGCUCCCGGUGACUACCACCGGUUCAGCUCUGAACCCCGCCGAGUUGCCGAUCAUGAAGUUGAGGCCAUCGUUGUUAUACCUCCUCCAACUAAGCGGAAGAGUGAUGCAGCAGAUCAUGAAGCUGAGUCCAGUGAGUGGAAUACCAGUGCUGGCGUCACAGAAGUAUUCAACAGUCCCCUCCAGACGCCUGUAUCUGGAAAAAGUGGAAAGGCA
RNAcentral lists this unclassified non-coding RNA (309 nucleotides) under Hevea brasiliensis (rubber tree). Lineage: Eukaryota; Viridiplantae; Streptophyta; Magnoliopsida; Malpighiales; Euphorbiaceae. The record is from RNAcentral.